Leptidea sinapis is the source of this 690-nucleotide long non-coding RNA. RefSeq lists it as uncharacterized. The transcript has 3 exons. NCBI's taxonomy places the organism in Eukaryota, Metazoa, Arthropoda, Insecta, Lepidoptera, Pieridae. The record is from RefSeq and is a predicted model, not a curated record.
UUGAUUUAGCGUCCACGGCCCUACUCGGCCCUAGCCCCGUGCUACCCAGCCUCCUCUCGACACACUUUCACUAAUAAAACGGCACGUACCAUUUUAAUGUUUUAAUGAUUAUCGUGUCCAUAAUUGCAGGCAGGAUUUUUGAAAAGGGCAAAGACUUUAACUUCAUACUAGAGCGCCCGAAUCGACGCACGAUUUACACAGCCGCUAAGCAAUAUUGAGGAGACAAAACUAGUGAGUGCACGCCGUAUGUCGCCGAAAAUGGCCGCCGUCAGAGUUAAGUUAGCUGCGCUGCACCGUCCGCGUCGUCAAUCUUUUUGUAUGUACCCACCCUAGCGCUCGGCCCAGACAUAGAUAUAAAUUUCAAAAAGACUGCUGAGUUACUCUGAUGUUCUACUUCUUGUAUUAUGUCUAUACCAUCUAAAAGGACGAUGACAUUUACGAAAUCGUAGCUCGAGCGCCUAGCAACUGACUAGCAUGAAACUUUGCUGUUAACGAGACAUGAAGCAUUUAUAGGAAAAACCAAAUAGUUAAGGAGAUUCCCAUCAGUGGAUAAGCUGCCACAAAGCGCGUGGCGCCCAUACCGUCUUAAGCCGCCGCGCGUUUCCGACGCCAAUUUCAACGGGCUCGUGUUACAAUAGAAUUUAUUGCUUGUGAAGUGUUUCGGCUUGUUUAUAAAAACGAACGUCAAUG